AUUGAACGCUGGCGGCAGGCCUAACACAUGCAAGUCGAACGAGUGGCGGACGGGUGAGUAAUGUCUGGGAAACUGCCUGAUGGAGGGGGAUAACUACUGGAAACGGUAGCUAAUACCGCAUACCAUCAGAUGUGCCCAGAUGGGAGUAGCUUGUGGGUGGGGUAACGGCUCACAAAGGCGACGAUCCCUAGCUGGUCUGAGAGGAUGACCAGCCACACUGGAACUGAGACACGGUGCAGACUCCUAGGGGAGGCAGCAGUGGGGAAGAUUGCACAAUGGGCGCAAGCCGGAUGCAGCCAUGCCGCGUGUUGGAAGAAGGCAGUCGGGUUGUAAAGUACUUGCAGCGGUGAGGCGUUACCCGCAGAAGAAGCACCGGCUAACUCCGUGCCAGCAGCCGCGGUAAUUC
RNAcentral lists this ribosomal RNA (406 nucleotides) under uncultured bacterium. Its description in RNAcentral is "partial 16S ribosomal RNA". It matches the Rfam family "Bacterial small subunit ribosomal RNA", at positions 29 to 526 of the family's 1533-position model. The record is from RNAcentral.